This 83-nucleotide transfer RNA is filed under the name Saccoglossus kowalevskii. RNAcentral's name for it is "tRNA-Leu". It matches the Rfam family "tRNA". Rfam says of the family: Transfer RNA (tRNA) molecules are approximately 80 nucleotides in length. Their secondary structure includes four short double-helical elements and three loops (D, anti-codon, and T loops). The record is from RNAcentral. Lineage: Eukaryota; Metazoa; Hemichordata; Enteropneusta; Harrimaniidae.
AGUGUGGUGGCCGAGCGGUUAAGGCGUUGGACUUAAGUUCCAAUGGACAUUAGUCCUCGUGGGUUCAAAUUCCACCCGCACUA